Molecule: unclassified non-coding RNA, 485 nt
Filed under: Hevea brasiliensis (rubber tree)
Lineage: Eukaryota; Viridiplantae; Streptophyta; Magnoliopsida; Malpighiales; Euphorbiaceae
Source: RNAcentral
AAGCUGGUUGAUAGUAUCUCUUCCCUUCUCUUUUGUCUUUCUUCUUCUGUGAUACCCAACAAAUACCGCAACAAACUGAAAAAGCAAUAAAUACGACAAUCAGCACUUAUGAUUGUAUAAACAAGGGGAACAAGAGCAGACAGAGAAUGCAGUUCCCUAAAACUUGUAGGCACACGGCAUUUCCCAGCUUGUACCAGUAUGUUUAAUUUUCAAAACAAGUCCAUUCACCAAACCAGAAAAGGAGAAACAAUAAAGGUCUCAGGUUCAACCAAAAUAAGGACAUGAUUAAUUGUGAUUGAAUUGAAUACUUAUUUGUUGAAUAUACAACAAUUUACUAAAAGUUAAUAAAAGCUUGUAAUGCUUUGCAUGUAGUUUUAAGAGUUGAGGGAAAGGGAGGAAAUCUUUUAAAGGAAUUGCAAGGAAAGGAAAGCAAUGAAACAAUUAACCUCAACUUUUUUUUCAGGGGUUCUAGAUGGUUUGGGAGA